This 253-nucleotide ribosomal RNA is filed under the name uncultured bacterium. Its description in RNAcentral is "partial 16S ribosomal RNA". It matches the Rfam family "Bacterial small subunit ribosomal RNA", at positions 524 to 776 of the family's 1533-position model. The record is from RNAcentral.
UACGUAGGUGGCAAGCGUUGUCCGGAUUUACUGGGCGUAAAGAGCGCGCAGGCGGUCGUUCAAGUCGCGUGUGAAAGCCCCCGGCUCAACUGGGGAGGGUCACGCGAUACUGGCGGCCUCGAGGGGGGUAGGGGCGUGCGGAACUGUGGGUGGAGCGGUGAAAUGCGUUAAUAUCCACAGGAACUCCGGUGGCGAAGGCGGCACGCUGGACCCCAUCUGACGCUGAGGCGCGAAAGCCAGGGGAGCGAACGGG